GUUACUUAGGCUUCUAAUAAAGCCACCCACAUGGCGACACAUGAAGCCACAUGCCCAAGAUUGUGGGCUUUAAAUUUAAGAGGAGAUUAUGGGGAAUAUGCCUUGCAUUUGGAGAAGUGAUUUUGCGGCGCCAAAAAGCACUUUGAAAUCUAGAAGAUUGAUCAUAGAUGCAUUGUCCUUCAACGCGGUUUUUGAAUAUUUAUUCAUUGGUGUGAAUAGAACUGUUUUUUGUACUAAACUUACUAAAUGGGAGAAUGAG
This 259-nucleotide long non-coding RNA is filed under the name Prunus persica (peach). RNAcentral describes it as "long non-coding RNA (PPER_LNC004250)". Lineage: Eukaryota; Viridiplantae; Streptophyta; Magnoliopsida; Rosales; Rosaceae. The record is from RNAcentral.